AUACGGAGGAUGCAAGCGUUAUCCGGAUUUAUUGGGUUUAAAGGGUGCGUAGGCGGUUUGCUAAGCGGGAGGUGAAAUGCCGGCGCUCAACGUCGGAAGUGCCUCCCGAACUGGUGGACUGGAAUGACUCUGCCGUGGGAGGAAUGUGUAGUGUAGCGGUGAAAUGCAUAGAGAUCACACAGAACACCGAUUGCGAAGGCAUCUCACGAAGGGGUGAUUGACGCUGAGGCACGAAAGCGUGGGGAUCAAACAGGAUUAGAUACCCUGGUAGUCCACGCAGUAAACGAUGAUAACUAACCGCUGGGUCGUAGUGAUUCAGUGGCCAAGCGAAAGCGAUAAGUUAUCCACCUGGGGAGUACGACCGCAAGGUUGAAACUCAAAUGAAUUGACGGGGG
RNAcentral lists this ribosomal RNA (395 nucleotides) under uncultured bacterium. RNAcentral describes it as "partial 16S ribosomal RNA". It matches the Rfam family "Bacterial small subunit ribosomal RNA", at positions 523 to 919 of the family's 1533-position model. The record is from RNAcentral.